UACGUAGGGGGCUAGCGUUAUCCGGAAUUACUGGGCGUAAAGGGUGCGUAGGCGGUCUUUCAAGCCAGAAGUGAAAGGCUACGGCUCAACCGUAGUAAGCUUUUGGAACUGUAAGACUUGAGUGCAGGAGAGGAGAGUGGAAUCCCUAGUGUAGCGGUGAAAUGCGUAGAUAUUAGGAGGAACACCAGUAGCGAAGGCGGCUCUCUGGACUGUAACUGAUGCUGAGGCACGAAAGCGUGGGGAGCAAACAGGAUUAGAUACCCCCCGUAGUCCCUGA
Molecule: ribosomal RNA, 277 nt
Filed under: uncultured prokaryote
Description: partial 16S ribosomal RNA
Rfam family: Bacterial small subunit ribosomal RNA
Source: RNAcentral